RNAcentral lists this ribosomal RNA (253 nucleotides) under uncultured bacterium. RNAcentral describes it as "partial 16S ribosomal RNA". It matches the Rfam family "Bacterial small subunit ribosomal RNA", at positions 524 to 776 of the family's 1533-position model. The record is from RNAcentral.
UACGUAGGGGGCAAGCGUUGUCCGGAUUUAUUGGGCGUAAAGAGCGUGUAGGCGGCCAGACAGGUCCGUUGUGAAAACUCGAGGCUCAACCUCGAGAUGUCGAUGGAAACCGUCUGGCUAGAGUCCGGAAGAGGAGUGUGGAAUUCCUGGUGUAGCGGUGAAAUGCGCAGAUAUCAGGAAGAACACCUAUGGCGAAGGCAGCACUCUGGGACGGUACUGACGCUGAGGAGCGAAAGCGUGGGUAGCGAACAGG